This 329-nucleotide unclassified non-coding RNA is filed under the name uncultured Solicoccozyma. Its description in RNAcentral is "sequence contains ITS2". The stretch from base 1 to 52 matches the Rfam family "5.8S ribosomal RNA", at positions 103 to 154 of the family's 154-position model. The record is from RNAcentral. Lineage: Eukaryota; Fungi; Basidiomycota; Tremellomycetes; Filobasidiales; Piskurozymaceae.
AACGCACCUUGCGCUCUUUGGUAUUCCGAAGAGCAUGCCUGUUUGAGUGUCAUGAAAAUAUCAACCUUGACUUGGGUUUAGUGCUCUUGUCUUGGCUUGGAUUUGGCUGUUUGCCGCUCGAAAGAGUCGGCUCAGCUUAAAAGUAUUAGCUGGAUCUGUUUUUGAGACUUGGUUUGACUUGGCGUAAUAAGUUAUUUCGCUGAGGACAAUCUUCGGAUUGGCCGAGUUUCUGGGACGUUUGUCCGCUUUCUAAUACAAGUUCUAGCUUGCUAGACAUGACUUUUUUAUUAUCUGGCCUCAAAUCAGGUAGGACUACCCGCUGAACUUAA